RNAcentral lists this ribosomal RNA (425 nucleotides) under uncultured rumen bacterium. RNAcentral's name for it is "bacterial SSU rRNA". It matches the Rfam family "Bacterial small subunit ribosomal RNA", at positions 354 to 776 of the family's 1533-position model. The record is from RNAcentral.
GUGGGGAAUAUUGGUCAAUGGCCGAGAGGCUGAACCAGCCAUGCCGCGUGCGGGAAGACGGCCCUAUGGGUUGUAAACCGCUUUUUUGUGGGAGCAAUAAGUUGCACGUGUGCAAUGAUGAGAGUACCAUGAGAAUAAGCAUCGGCUAACUCCGUGCCAGCAGCCGCGGUAAUACGGAGGAUGCGAGCGUUAUCCGGAUUUAUUGGGUUUAAAGGGUGCGUAGGCGGAUUUUUAAGCGUGAGGUGAAAUGCCCGGGCUCAACCUGGGAACUGCCUCGCGAACUGGGAGUCUUGAAUGCCCCUGCCGUGGGAGGAAUGUGUGGUGUAGCGGUGAAAUGCAUAGAGAUCACACAGAACACCGAUUGCGAAGGCAUCUCACGAAGGGGUGAUUGACGCUGAGGCACGAAAGCGUGGGGAUCAAACAGG